UACAGAGGUCCCAAGCGUUGUUCGGAUUCACUGGGCGUAAAGGGUGCGUAGGCGGUCGGGUAAGUCUGAUGUGAAAUCUUCGAGCUCAACUCGGAAACUGCAUCGGAAACUAUUCGGCUAGAGGAUUGGAGGGGAGACUGGAAUUCUCGGUGUAGCAGUGAAAUGCGUAGAUAUCGAGAGGAACACCAGUGGCGAAGGCGAGUCUCUGGACAAUUCCUGACGCUGAGGCACGAAAGCUAGGGGAGCAAACAGG
RNAcentral lists this ribosomal RNA (253 nucleotides) under uncultured bacterium. RNAcentral describes it as "partial 16S ribosomal RNA". It matches the Rfam family "Bacterial small subunit ribosomal RNA", at positions 524 to 776 of the family's 1533-position model. The record is from RNAcentral.